GAUUCGUCACACUAUCAUUAACUGAAUCCAUAGGUUAAUGAGGCGAACCGGGGGAACUGAAACAUCUAAGUACCCCGAGGAAAAGAAAUCAACCGAGAUUCCCCCAGUAGCGGCGAGCGAACGGGGAGGAGCCCAGAGCCUGAAUCAGCAUGUGUGUUAGUGGAAGCGUCUGGAAAGGCGCGCGAUACAGGGUGACAGCCCCGUACACAAAAGCGCAUGUGCUGUGAGCUCGAUGAGUAGGGCGGGACACGUGGUAUCCUGUCUGAAUAUGGGGGGACCAUCCUCCAAGGCUAAAUACUCCUGACUGACCGAUAGUGAACCAGUACCGUGAGGGAAAGGCGAAAAGAACCCCGGCGAGGGGAGUGAAAAAGAACCUGAAACCGUGUACGUACAAGCAGUGGGAGCACCCUUCGGGGUGUGACUGCGUACCUUUUGUAUAAUGGGUCAGCGACUUAUAUUC
RNAcentral lists this ribosomal RNA (460 nucleotides) under Salmonella enterica subsp. enterica serovar Typhimurium. RNAcentral describes it as "partial 23S ribosomal RNA". It matches the Rfam family "Bacterial large subunit ribosomal RNA", at positions 137 to 635 of the family's 2925-position model. The record is from RNAcentral. Lineage: Bacteria; Pseudomonadati; Pseudomonadota; Gammaproteobacteria; Enterobacterales; Enterobacteriaceae.